RNAcentral lists this long non-coding RNA (343 nucleotides) under Nicotiana benthamiana. RNAcentral describes it as "long non-coding RNA (NBEN_LNC008030)". Lineage: Eukaryota; Viridiplantae; Streptophyta; Magnoliopsida; Solanales; Solanaceae. The record is from RNAcentral.
GGAAGGCGGCUAGGGUUUGAGAAGCUUCUAGAAACUUUGAGAGAAUGGGAGGGGGGGGGGUUCAAGGGCGGAUGAUGAUGCCAAAUGGGUAGGGUUUGGCGAGGGGAGGGUAAUGGGUAAUUAAAAAUGGAAAGGUUAAAAGGUGGCCACUGAUCAUUUUGAUCAACAACCUGGAUUAAACAGGGAAGUCGGGCGGGUCGUUGAAAUGGGUUGUGGGUCGGGUAAAUUAAGUAGUUGGGUUGGGUAAUUGGGUCUGAAGAUGGGUUUUAUUAGGGUGUGGGUUGGUUCAAUUUAGGCUAACUUAGAAAGCCAAAAUCUGCCUAUAAGUUAAAUUGCCUCUUUU